RNAcentral lists this ribosomal RNA (467 nucleotides) under uncultured bacterium. RNAcentral's name for it is "partial 16S ribosomal RNA". It matches the Rfam family "Bacterial small subunit ribosomal RNA", at positions 28 to 507 of the family's 1533-position model. The record is from RNAcentral.
GACGAACGCUGGCGGCGUGCUUAACACAUGCAAGUCGAACGGAAAGGCCCUGCUUUUGUGGGGCGCUCGAGUGGCGAACGGGUGAGUAACACGUGAGUAACCUGCCCUUGACUUUGGGAUAACUUCAGGAAACUGGGGCUAAUACCGGAUAGGAGCUCCUGCUGCAUGGUGGGGGUUGGAAAGUUUCGGCGGUUGGGGAUGGACUCGCGGCUUAUCAGCUUGUUGGUGGGGUAGUGGCUUACCAAGGCUUUGACGGGUAGCCGGCCUGAGAGGGUGACCGGCCACAUUGGACUGAGAUACGGCCCAGACUCCUACGGGAGGCAGCAGUGGGGAAUAUUGCACAAUGGGCGGAAGCCUGAUGCAGCAACGCCGCGUGCGGGAUGACGGCCUUCGGGUUGUAAACCGCUUUCGCCUGUGACGAAGCGUGAGUGACGGUAAUGGGUAAAGAAGCACCGGCUAACUACGUG